UCCUCGCUCGAAGAAUCGCAUUCAAAGCUUACACACAGAGUGUCUCCCUCACCGCGACAGACAUCUCAUAUCUCCUUGCUUUGGGAGAAAGUCCCCGGACAUCGGUUCUUCGUGUACCGCACUCGCUUCACAGCGCUGCCACAGAAGCGCAGCCUCGCUCACGCACAUCAGAACACCGCUUUCCGCCGUGCACUCACCGUCUGCACUCCCUCGGCGCGUUCCCAAGAUCGCAGGUGACGGGCUGGCGUCAGGACGAGGAUAUGAGUCCGUCGGUACCCCGAGCUUGUUGCUUCGCGGGCCUGCAAUGAGUGGAGGAGGUGACGCCUGGUUGGCCGGCGGUAGUCAGACGAGGGUCCUUUCGUCAAGUUGGAUAGUUAUGCGAUUGCCUGCUGUCCUGUCCAGUAACAUGGACUGGCCGGAAGGUAACUCGAUGGGGCUUAUUCUCGAGGCGAGG
RNAcentral lists this RNase MRP RNA (454 nucleotides) under Clohesyomyces aquaticus. Its description in RNAcentral is "RNase MRP". It matches the Rfam family "RNase MRP". From Rfam's summary of the family: RNase MRP is an enzymatically active ribonucleoprotein with two distinct roles in eukaryotes. In mitochondria it plays a direct role in the initiation of mitochondrial DNA replication. The record is from Rfam by way of RNAcentral. Lineage: Eukaryota; Fungi; Ascomycota; Dothideomycetes; Pleosporales; Lindgomycetaceae.